AAGGCACUUCAUUCUGAUCAAGGGAACAAUCAGCCAAGAAGACAUUACAUGGAAGAGUGCUACAUAGAUGGCAGGAUUCUCACUAACAGCAGUAAAGCAUGCCUCUAAUGACUGGAGUUUGGUAGUGAUUGUUGCCACAUAC
This 142-nucleotide small nucleolar RNA is filed under the name Nannospalax galili (Upper Galilee mountains blind mole rat). The record is from RNAcentral. Lineage: Eukaryota; Metazoa; Chordata; Mammalia; Rodentia; Spalacidae.